Molecule: ribosomal RNA, 480 nt
Filed under: uncultured bacterium
Lineage: Bacteria
Description: partial 16S ribosomal RNA
Rfam family: Bacterial small subunit ribosomal RNA
Source: RNAcentral
AACGAACGCUGGCGGCGUGCUUAACACAUGCAAGUCGAGCGAGAGAAAUUCCUUCGGGAAGGACUCUAGCGGCGGACGGGUGAGUAACACGUGGGUAACUUGCCUCAUAGAGGGGAAUAGCCUUUCGAAAGGAAGAUUAAUACCGCAUAAGAUUGUAGUAUCGCAUGAUGCAGCAAUUAAAGGAGUAAUCCGCUAUGAGAUGGACCCGCGUCGCAUUAGCUAGUUGGUGAGGUAACGGCUCACCAAGGCGACGAUGCGUAGCCGACCUGAGAGGGUGAUCGGCCACAUUGGGACUGAGACACGGCCCAGACUCCUACGGGAGGCAGCAGUGGGGAAUAUUGCACAAUGGGGGAAACCCUGAUGCAGCAACGCCGCGUGAGUGAUGACGGUCUUCGGAUUGUAAAACUCUGUCUUCAGGGACGAUAAUGACGGUACCUGAGGAGGAAGCCACGGCUAACUACGUGCCAGCCGCCGCAGUAA